Molecule: ribosomal RNA, 395 nt
Filed under: uncultured bacterium
Lineage: Bacteria
Description: bacterial SSU rRNA
Rfam family: Bacterial small subunit ribosomal RNA
Source: RNAcentral
AUUGAACGCUGGCGGUAUGCUUAAGACAUGCAAGUCGAACGGUAACAGACCUUCGGGUGCUGACGAGUGGCGGACGGGUGAGUAACACGUGGGAAUCUACCUUGUAGUGGGGGAUAAGCCAGGGAAACUUGGACUAAUACCGCAUACGCCCUAAGGGGGAAAGGAGCAAUUCGCUAUAAGAUGAGCCCGCGUCUGAUUAGCUAGUUGGUGAGGUAAAGGCUCACCAAGGCGACGAUCAGUAGCUGGUCUGAGAGGAUGACCAGCCACAUUGGGACUGAGACACGGCCCAGACUCCUACGGGAGGCAGCAGUCGGGAAUAUUGGACAAUGGGGGCAACCCUGAUCCAGCAAUACCGCGUGUGUGAAGAAGGCCUGCGGGUUGUAAAGCACUUUUAG